GGGUGGUUAGCUCAGCUGGUUCAGAGUACAUGCUUGACAGGCAUGGGGUCGGGAGUUCGAGUCUCCCACCACCCA
This 75-nucleotide transfer RNA is filed under the name Bacteroidota bacterium. Its description in RNAcentral is "Bacteroidetes bacterium (marine metagenome) tRNA-Val". It matches the Rfam family "tRNA". From Rfam's summary of the family: Transfer RNA (tRNA) molecules are approximately 80 nucleotides in length. Lineage: Bacteria; Pseudomonadati; Bacteroidota. The record is from RNAcentral.